AUCUAAUCAUCGUCGGGAGAGUUUGAUCGUCGUGAUACAGCCACACAGUGUGUCUGACCUAUGCAAAUCAUCCACAUGAAGCUUUCGAUCCGAUCGACUCCUCACGAGUGCUAGCUCGUUGUAGAGCCCUUUCGACGAUCGAUGCUGAUCGAACUCCUUCGAUCGAUGUCUGUCGAUUCUUCAAACAUUCCGAAUCGUCAGCAGACAUGCUUGAGAGGAUGUUAAAGAUCUUUCUGAAAUUUAAUG
RNAcentral lists this long non-coding RNA (246 nucleotides) under Elaeis guineensis (African oil palm). RNAcentral's name for it is "long non-coding RNA (EGUI_LNC008468)". Lineage: Eukaryota; Viridiplantae; Streptophyta; Magnoliopsida; Arecales; Arecaceae. The record is from RNAcentral.